Molecule: long non-coding RNA, 436 nt
Filed under: Mytilus galloprovincialis (Mediterranean mussel)
Lineage: Eukaryota; Metazoa; Mollusca; Bivalvia; Mytilida; Mytilidae
Source: RNAcentral
GUGGAUAAUUACUCAACAAUUGAGGUGCUCCUGAAUUGGAGGAAGAUUCUCAAAACAGAAUUUUUACAGAAAAAUAAUGAAUAAAAUCGUUUCUCUCCCCUAUCUCAUGUAUCCCCACGAUCUUUGUUUACUUUGAAAGUUGUUCACCUACACAUUAAAGUAUUGCAUAUUGAUGUUUGAAUCAUCUACAGCAAACAUUAUUAUGUUUAAAUUUAACAAAUACCAAUGUGUAAUUAGUGCACGAUCUCUGAGAAUGAUUUAAAUAACCAGUGAAGGAUAUCCCUGCUUCUGCGUAGUGUGGCAUUCCAAGAAUGACGUCACUAUAAAAUACAAUGUAGGUUGGAUAUAUUUAGAAUAUCUCGUCAUACUGAUUUUUCCGGAUUGUAAAAGAAACAUAAACAGUGUAAAGGAGAGCUCAAGAUACGAUAGUUUCGUG